This 424-nucleotide long non-coding RNA is filed under the name Lupinus angustifolius (narrow-leaved blue lupine). Its description in RNAcentral is "long non-coding RNA (LANG_LNC002007)". The record is from RNAcentral. Lineage: Eukaryota; Viridiplantae; Streptophyta; Magnoliopsida; Fabales; Fabaceae.
UUCAUCUAGUUUCAAAAAAUUGUAUUAUAUGAGAAUUAGAAAAAUAUGGUACAUAUUACUAAAAAAUCAAAACACAAUCAUAUUACUUUUUCAUUGUUGCAGCCAUUGAGACUCUUCUCGUGACAAAUGAAUGUCGAUCUAACCAUCUUAAUUUGGUUUAUCCAUAUGUUCUUAAUUUGAUGUUAGUGUCCAUUCCUGAGUUUCCCUGUCAAGAUCAUUCGAGUUCCAACUCUAACUGUGCAUGCCAUUACCUUUGCUUUUUUGUUGCUUUGAAAAACAACAUAGAGUUUAAGGUAUUUUCUACUUACUAACUUGAGUAACUUCUUCUCUUCUUUCAACUUCUGUCAAGCUUUCUUUCGUUAGAUCUUAAGGCAUCCUUUCAGCAUUAACCUCUAGUUGUUGAUUUCAUAGAAACUAAAAAUUA